RNAcentral lists this ribosomal RNA (899 nucleotides) under Venturiocistella japonica. Its description in RNAcentral is "SSU rRNA". The stretch from base 107 to 899 matches the Rfam family "Bacterial small subunit ribosomal RNA", at positions 1 to 1192 of the family's 1533-position model. Lineage: Eukaryota; Fungi; Ascomycota; Leotiomycetes; Helotiales; Hyphodiscaceae. The record is from RNAcentral.
CUGACAGCAUUUGGGGGAUGAAUAGCUUUUGCUAAAUAUAUACUCCUAAAGAUCCAUGAUAGUUUACUAUUAUGAAUUCUUGGAACCAGUACGACUGAAUAUACAUCAGUUUAACCGUUUUUACCGGCAGUUAUACUGUAAUUAGAUCAGUACGACUAUUUAUAAAUUGAUUUUAUCAAAUAAAGUUCUAGGUAAUAUAAUUGAUUAUGACAAUAAUUACUUAUGUGUCUUGACCAAAUUACGUGCCAGCAGUCGCGGUAAUACGUAGAAGACUAGUGUUAUUCAUCUUUAGUAGGUUUAAAGGGUACCUAGACAGUAAAAUUAGUCCAUAACAGGAUACGGUUUAACUAGAGUUAUAUAUGAGAAGGUGAGUAUUUACGGAGUAGAGUUGAAAUUCAUUGAUACCUUAACGACUGGUAACGGCGAAAGCAACCUUUUAUCUAAUAACUGACGUUGAGGGACGAAGGCUUGGGUAACGAACAGGAUUAGAUACCCUAGUAGUCCUAGCAGAAAAUUAUGAAUGCCAUAGAUUAGAAAAAUUUAGUUUAUAAAUGAAAGUGCAAGCAUUUCACCUCAAGAGUAAUGUGGCAACGCAGGAACUGAAAUCAUUAGACCGUUUCUGAAACCAGUAGUGAAGUAUGUUAUUUAAUUCGUAGUCACGCGAAAAACCUUACCACAAUUUGAAUAUUAUCUUUAAAAUAAUACAAUUGUAUUAUUUAAGAUAUUACAAGCGUUGCACGGCUGUCUUCAGUUAAUGUCGUGAGAUUAUGGUUAAUUCCUUUAAAUUAACGGAAGCCCUUGCUUUAUUUGUAUCUUUCGCAGCGGGAAAGCCAAAACGUCAGAUAAAUAAAGCAGUUCACCUUCUAUAUUGGAUAUGAUAACAGGACCAAGACAAGUCA